GCUCAGCUCAGCUCAGUGGUUAGAGCACCUGGUUAACACCUAGGAGGUCGCUGGUUCAAUCCCAGCUCUGGUUG
This 74-nucleotide transfer RNA is filed under the name Pisolithus tinctorius. Its description in RNAcentral is "tRNA-Val". The stretch from base 10 to 66 matches the Rfam family "tRNA", at positions 9 to 63 of the family's 71-position model. From Rfam's summary of the family: Transfer RNA (tRNA) molecules are approximately 80 nucleotides in length. Their secondary structure includes four short double-helical elements and three loops (D, anti-codon, and T loops). RNAcentral also lists the same sequence under 1 other name. Lineage: Eukaryota; Fungi; Basidiomycota; Agaricomycetes; Boletales; Pisolithaceae. The record is from RNAcentral.